GAGUUUGAUCAUGGCUCAGAUUGAACGCUGGCGGUAUGCUUAACACAUGCAAGUCGAACGGUAGCAGCUCUAGCUUGCUAGAGGCUGACGAGUGGCGGACGGGUGAGUAACGCGUAGGAAUCUGCCCAUCAGUAGAGGACAACUCGGGGAAACUCGAGCUAAUACUGUAUAUUACUCUACGGAGGAAAGUAAGGGACCUUAUGGCCUUACGCUGAUGGAUGAGCCUGCGUCGGAUUAGCUAGUUGGUGGGGUAAAGGCCUACCAAGGCGACGAUCCGUAGCUGUUCUGAGAGGAAGAUCAGCCACACUGGGGACUGAGACACGGCCCAGACUCCUACGGGAGGCAGCAGUGGGGAAUAUUGGACAAUGGGGGCAACCCUGAUCCAGCAAUACCGCGUGUGUGAAGAAGGCCUGCGGGUUGUAAAGCACUUUCGUUAGGGAGGAAGGCUUAUACGUUAAUAGCGUAUAGGAUUGACGUUACCUAAAGAAGAAGCACCGGCUAACUCUGUGCCAGCCCG
Molecule: ribosomal RNA, 517 nt
Filed under: uncultured marine bacterium
Lineage: Bacteria
Description: bacterial SSU rRNA
Rfam family: Bacterial small subunit ribosomal RNA
Source: RNAcentral